This is a long non-coding RNA of Taeniopygia guttata (zebra finch), 2610 nucleotides long. The record is from Ensembl. Lineage: Eukaryota; Metazoa; Chordata; Aves; Passeriformes; Estrildidae.
AGAAAUGCACUGAAAGCACAUGGAAGGCAGGGCUGGGAUCCCUUGGCCAUCCAGCGCUGCAGCUUUUGGUCCCUCUUUGCUGCAUUAACCCCGGGUGAUGCUGCUGCAGCCUUUCCUUCACGUUCCUCUGCUUCUCUCUCAGCCCAAUUAAUCCCUCAGGGGGACGCUGCCGUCACAAACAAGAUUUAAGGGAAUUUAACGCCAAGUUGGCAGGCCUGGAGAGGAAAGGCUGGUGCUCCCUGGGAGAAGCGAAGCACCAGGAGCUGCUUCCCCACCUUGCCGGGAGCUGCUGGGGCUCAGUGUGCGUGGAACUCGCUGCUCACCUUCUCAACGAGCUGCUAACAAGGGAGCCAAUUAGUGCCAGUUGUGAUGGGAGCACUUUUUCCACCAGGAGCUGGAUUGAAACCUUUCAUUCGUUUUGCACAGGCAGAGGAACACAAAAUGUUCAAGCAUGGAUAAAAUCCACAAGUUGUGAAGGUUUAGGAUACCCCCAUGGAUUUUAGUCUUUGUUUCAGACUUGCAGCUUUCAUUAAAAAAAUAAAAGAAAUAAAAAGCAGAGAGGGGAAAAAGAGAAAGGUUUCUUGCCCUUUUGAUGAUGAAACUAAUUCUCCUCAUCCAAACUAAUACCAGCCUUUCUUGAAUGACUCAUGCUGAAAUGGUCCCUUGGUGGUCUGGGACCUUGGAAUAAUGAGUUGCCAAGGUUGGACAUCAGUCCCUGCUGCUGGGGGCUCUGGGGACAGCCUGCCAGCCCCUGCCAGCCUCCCAGGCCCUGUGACAUUCCCACACAGAGCAGGAGAACCAAGGAGCUCUGUGCUACUGUCCUCCAGCUCUGUAAGAUCCAGGGGGAGCAGGACACGGAUGGAGAGCCCCUCCACCACUGCCUCUGUCCUGAGGGGCCCAGCAGGGUCUGCCAAGGGUGCCUGCUCCUCAGUUCCAUUCCAUCCCAUUCCUAUGUUGGAAGGGCUUUGAGCUGCUUCUCUGCCUUUUGCUUGGACCUCUGCAGGGUUAGAGAGAAGACAAAUGCUCGUCUCCUUCCAGGACCUGGUUUCUCAGCUGGAGAUAGAUUUUUGGAUGAUGCAGAAGGUCCCCCAAAGCUGUGCAGAACAGUCCCAGAGGAGGGUUAACAGCACCCAGAGUCCUGCCAGAGGUUCUGCAGCUCUGAGCAGCUCCGUGGAGUUCCCAUCCCCAGGCUUGGGAGCAUCACCACUGCCUUGAAGAAGGCUGGACUUCAUCUAGAUCACUCAGUCCUGCCCUAAAGACUAAAGAUCUUCUGGAGGGGUGAAGUUUCCUUUCAAAGGAGCCAUCAAACACAGCUCACACCCCGACAGGAAGGGAUCAUCUUCCAGUGAGGUAAACGGGGAUGCAGGCUCCCCCUGUGCUGCAGGUGAGUCACCAGGCAAAUGUUCCUGAAACCUCCUGUCAAACAGAUUUUACAUUAAAGGCACCAUCAGAGGGCAGAAAGUGCUUUUCUCAGGGCAUUUAUUAAGUUCUGCAGCUAAUUAAUCCAAGUAUUUACAAAAGAAAUGCUUGGCAAUACACAGAGUUCAGCCGAGUUCAAGGAAUGAAAGAAAAUAUCAGAUCAGGGAACCUGCACAUCUGAGUCCAUGACAGAUCUCCUUAGCAGCAAAUCCCAGCAAGAAACCUUUCUGGUUUCCCCCUCAAGUCAAAUCCUUUGUGUCAAACCCUAUUUUUAACUCAGCCCACUGAGCUCGUGAGGGUGAAAACCCCAUGCAAGGACCCUGGGUUCUGCACCACUGCUUUUAAUGGAAAUGCACUGGGGAAAGAUCAUCCAGUGCAGCUGGAGGUGCAGAGGAAGCAACACAGAAAUUCUUCCUCAAACACACAAAAGUUGUGCUUGGAUCUCCCACUGGUACCUCAGGAGCCUGGUUGUUUGCAGCUCUCCAGAUCUUUCACUUUUCUGUUUUUUAAAAGGAGGGUUAUAUUUUCUUUUUUUUCCCAGUCAUCAGGAACUUUACCUGGCUGCCACAAUUUUUCCAAAGUGAUAGAUAGUGGAUUAGGAACUCCAUCUGCCAGAUCUCUCAGUGGUUCCUUGGAGGAGGUGAUCUCUGGAUUUGAAUGGAAAGGAGGGAAAUUUAGGCUAAGUAUUGGGAUAGCAACAGAUGGAUGAGGAUAAAACAUCCUGGGAGCAAACUGACACUGGGCUUGGAGGAGAAAGAAGAAAGAGAGGCUGUAACAGGCUAGUGGUUUAAGAAAAAGCAGCAGCCACCAGUGCAAUCCCAGAGCUCAGACUCCACAGGAUCAACAACUGCCCCUCACCCUCUGUGCCAAGCAGGACUGAGCCCUACCUGGAUCUUUUCCAGGGGGGAACUGGCAGUCAAAUUACAUUCUUUGUUAGUUCCCUGGUUUUAUGGGGCUUCUGUAGGUUCAGUAAUUUUUUUAGCUAUAAAGUGCAACUUUGGGCAAUGAACAAGGCCCUUUACAGAGUUCUGGCUGGACUGUGUGGGAUUUAAAAGCUGAGCAGACUUGGGAACAGUAGGAAGGAUUACACAGACUGCCUCUUCAUGAAGAUGCGGCAGAACGUCCCCAUGGAGCUUCCAGUAAGGAAGGGAAAGCAAAGCCUUACUCUAAUAAACUCUUCGAUUUCAGCAC